RNAcentral lists this long non-coding RNA (535 nucleotides) under Homo sapiens (human). Its description in RNAcentral is "non-protein coding lnc-AGBL2-2:1". The record is from RNAcentral. Lineage: Eukaryota; Metazoa; Chordata; Mammalia; Primates; Hominidae.
GCUGCUGCGUGCGUGCGCGCGCGCCGCGGGCGGGCCAGUGAAACCGGCGGCCCUGGCACGUGACCUAGGACCGGCUCACCGGGUCGCUUGGUGGCUCCGUCUGUCUGUCCGUCCGCCCGCGGGUGCCAUCAUGGCGGACGCGGCCAGUCAGGUGCUCCUGGGCUCCGGUCUCACCAUCCUGUCCCAGCCGCUCAUGUGGGAUAUGAGCCUCUUCCUCCAACAAUAGGACGAAAUAUUUUUGGGCGGCAAGUGUGUCAGCUUCCUGGUCUCUUUAGUUAUGCUCAGCACAUUGCCAGUAUCGAUGGGAGGCGCGGGUUGUUCACAGGCUUAACUCCAAGACUGUGUUCGGGAGUCCUUGGAACUGUGGUCCAUGGUAAAGUUUUACAGCAUUACCAGGAGAGUGACAAGGGUGAGGAGUUAGGACCUGGAAAUGUACAGAAAGAAGUCUCAUCUUCCUUUGACCACGUUAUCAAGGAGACAACUCGAGAGAUGAUCGCUCGUUCUGCUGCUACCCUCAUCACACAUCCCUUCCAUG